Halocaridina rubra (Hawaiian volcano shrimp) is the source of this 78-nucleotide non-coding RNA. NCBI's taxonomy places the organism in Eukaryota, Metazoa, Arthropoda, Malacostraca, Decapoda, Atyidae. The record is from the annotation of a GenBank genome assembly.
ACCCUCUAUGGUGUAGUUGGUAGCGCCUUGGCUUAGCAAUACUGUAAUAAGUCCCAGGUUCAAGUCCCGGUCGGGGUA